This is a long non-coding RNA of Oncorhynchus tshawytscha (Chinook salmon), 2003 nucleotides long. Lineage: Eukaryota; Metazoa; Chordata; Actinopteri; Salmoniformes; Salmonidae. The record is from Ensembl.
CCUUGGGGGGUUUCUUUAUUUUUUUACUAUUUUCUACAUUGUAGAAUAAUAGUGAUUACAUCAAACUAUGAAAUAACACAUAUGGAAUCAUGUAGUAACCCAACAAGUGUUAAAUCAAAAUAUAAUUUAUAUUCUUCAAAGUAGUCACCUUUUGCCUUGACAGCUUUGCACACUCUUGGCAUACUCUCAACCAGCUUCAUGAGGUAGUCACCUGGAAUGCGUUUCAAUUAACAGGUGUGCCUUGUUAACUAUUUACAUUGACACCCCCCUCCAUUUGUUUUGUACACUGCUGGUACUUGCUGUUUAUUAUCUAUUCAUAGUCACUUCAAUCCUACCUACAUGUACAAAUUACCUCGACUAACCUGUACCCCAGCACAUUGACUCAGUACCAGUACCCCCUGUAUAUAACCUUGUCUGCUUCCAACUCAACCUCUCAAACACGUAGAUCCCCUGAACGCAGCUCACUCUCCAGAUCCCAAUCACCUGAAUUCUGAUCACCUGUUCACACACCUGUAUGUCAUUAUCACAGACUAUUUAGUUCAGUUCUUUGCAUCCCAUCAUUGUGAGACAUUGUUUGUUUUGUGACACACUUGUAUUCGGAGUGCUGGUUUGACUGUAAUUUAAUCCUCCUGUGUAUGACAGUUUUUUUCCCAGCCUCACUAACGACGCCUAUUCCCUGCCUGUACCUUAGCCUAUUGGAUUUCCUGUUAUCAACCUAUUGCCUGAUCUCCCUGACAACGUUACUAGCCUUUUCCCUGCCUGUACUGUUGCCUUGUUGGACCCCCUGUGUAUGACCUUCUGCCUGCCCCUGGACCCAGCUACCUGCCUCCUCCUGUGGUCCUUUACAAUAAACACCUGCUGCUCGCUGCGCUUGAAACCAGCUCUCAUCGUGUUCAUUACAGUCAGUCAAUCCGGAAAAUGUCCAGAAAUGUGAAAGUUUCUUCAAGUGCAGUCGCAAAAUCCAUCAAGCGCAAUGAUGAAACUGGCUCUCAUGAGGACCGCCACAGGAAAGGAAGACCUAGAGUUACCUCUGCUGCAGAUAAGAUCAUUAGAGUUACCAGCCUCAGAAAUUGCAUCCCAAAUAAAUGCUACAGAGUUCAAGUAACAGACACAUCUCAACAUCAACUGUUCAGAGGAGACUGUGUGAAUCAGGCCUUCAUGGUUGAAUUGCUGCAAAGAAACCACUACUAAAGGAAGUAACUGGAAGUUAUUUUUCGUAGCAUGUUAGGAGAGCAUUUUAGCUAACCCUAACCGUUUUCCUGACCUUAAACUAAUUCUCCUAACCUGCUAUGAAGAAGUUACUUCUGGUCGUAGCUGUAUACCACCUAGUCAACCCACCCCCCCGACUGAGUUACAAAAAAAACACAAUUUGGUUUGGUUGGGGCCCCCUUAUUUCUGAAGUCAGACCUACCCUGAGUACAGCCAUCACACACACCACAGGAGGUUGGUGACGAUUGGUGGGAACUUAAUUGGGGAGUCGGGAAUGUGGUAAUGGCUGGAGUGCCAUUCCAUUCACGCCGUUCCCAACAUUAUUAUGAGUCGUCCUCCCCUCAGCAACAUCCACUGACACACACACACAGGUGAACAUGAACAACUAGCACAUUGCAUUUGAUCGGUGUAUCAUCAGGACGCAAAAGGUUUUUGCUUCACCUUUGGUAUGUUAAAAUUUUGUGGACAAUCUCUUACAUAGGAACCAGAUCAACUGGUUUGGCUCUGUUCAAUGAUCAAUACAUUUCCAUGGCCCCAAGAAAUUCCAUGAUAUUACAGGACAGAAUUAUGGCUGGCCUGCCCUCUCUGGGCCAAAGCAGACAAUGGAAUGACCCCUGGAAGUUCAUAGCAGGUUCAGUGGCUGUUGUUGAGAGGGGUGUGAUAGCACUGAUGGACACCCAUCUCAAAGUGGUUGCAAUAAUGUUUUCUGAAGUAGUGAUGCUGAAGGGAUUGUGAAGGAGCAAUCACAAAGGUGAAGUAGAGAUAGGUUUGAAUUGGUUGUUGCUUGUUUACCU